GCCGCUUCCGGUCCCCAGCGCCAGAGCGAAUGUCUUCCCCCUCUGUGGGGCUGGAGCGGGGCUUGCUGCGACCCCCCAGAGCCCACGAUCGCGCCUCCCCAGCCGGCGAAUCCGCCAGCACUAGCGUCCCACCGGCGCCUGGGACCAUGGCCACUGACUCAUGGGCCCUUGCGGUGGAUGAACAGGAGGCAGCGGCCGUAUCGUUGAGCAACUUACAUCUUAAGGAAGAGAAAAUCAAACCAGAUGCCAAUGGUGCCGUUGUCAAGACCAGUGCUAAUGCAGAGAAGGCAGAUGAAGAAGAGAAAGAAGACAGAGCUGCUCAGUCCUUACUCAACAAGCUGAUCAGAAGCAACCUUGUCGAUAACACCAACCAAGUAGAAGUCCUGCAGCGGGACCCCAAUUCCCCGCUCUACUCAGUGAAGUCCUUUGAGGAGCUUCGGCUGAAACCACAGCUUCUCCAGGGAGUCUAUGCCAUGGGCUUCAACCGUCCAUCCAAGAUACAAGAGAAUGCAUUGCCUCUGAUGCUUGCUGAGCCCCCACAGAACUUAAUUGCCCAGUCUCAGUCUGGCACUGGUAAAACAGCUGCCUUCGUGUUGGCCAUGCUCAGCCAAGUAGAACCUGCAAAUAGAUACCCCCAGUGUCUCUGCCUCUCCCCAACUUAUGAGCUCGCCCUGCAAACAGGAAAAGUGAUUGAACAGAUGGGCAAAUAUUACCCUGAACUGAAGCUAGCUUAUGCUGUCCGAGGCAAUAAAUUGGAAAGAGGUCAGAAGAUCAGUGAACACAUUGUCAUUGGCACCCCUGGGACUGUUCUGGACUGGUGCGCCAAGCUCAAGUUCAUAGACCCUAAGAAGAUCAAGGUGUUUGUUCUGGAUGAGGCUGACGUGAUGAUAGCUACUCAGGGCCACCAAGACCAGAGCAUCCGCAUCCAGAGGAUGCUGCCCAGGAACUGCCAGAUGCUGCUUUUCUCUGCCACCUUUGAAGACUCUGUGUGGAAAUUUGCCCAGAAAGUGGUCCCAGACCCAAACAUUAUCAAACUGAAGCGCGAGGAGGAGACCUUGGACACCAUCAAGCAGUAUUACGUCCUGUGCAAUAACAGAGAUGAGAAGUUCCAGGCCUUGUGUAACCUGUAUGGGGCCAUCACCAUUGCUCAGGCCAUGAUCUUCUGCCAUACCCGCAAAACAGCUAGUUGGCUGGCAGCAGAGCUCUCCAAAGAAGGCCACCAGGUGGCUCUGCUGAGCGGCGAAAUGAUGGUGGAGCAGAGGGCUGCUGUGAUCGAGCGCUUCCGCGAGGGCAAAGAGAAGGUGCUGGUGACCACCAACGUGUGUGCCCGCGGUAUUGAUGUUGAACAGGUAUCUGUCGUCAUCAACUUUGACCUUCCCGUGGACAAGGAUGGGAACCCGGACAACGAGACCUACCUGCACCGGAUCGGGCGCACGGGCCGCUUUGGCAAGAGGGGCCUGGCAGUGAACAUGGUCGACAGCAAACACAGCAUGAACAUCCUGAACAGAAUCCAGGAGCAUUUUAAUAAGAAAAUAGAAAGAUUGGACACGGAUGAUUUGGAUGAGAUUGAGAAAAUAGCCAACUAAGAAGCUCCAUCAGUCACCAGUGCCCACCCCCGGUGCUCCCCCUGCACGGGAGACUAGUGCUUUCACGGCACAGGCCUCGACAGUCACUAUAAAGACAAAGGCAGAAGAGAGAGAAACUACCUACCUCAUUUUAAAUUACGUUUGGACUUGACAAAAAUUGUGCAAAUGAUUGGGGAUGGUAGAAGGAAAAUUUUGCAUUUUGGAAAAUUUAGUUCUCUCCCCACACCUCCCCCCCUGCCUCCCCCCCCUGCCCUUUUAAACCAUGGUUUUCCCACCUUAUAAUAAUCUGGUCGCUGUUGAUAAUGGCUGAGCCUAGGACUCCCUGCUUGCUGCUUGUUUUGUUGUGGGGGGUUAGGAUGUAUUUCCAGCCCCUGAAGAAAUGGUCGGUGUAGGUGCAGGAGAGGCUCAGCAGUACAGGCACGGAGGCCCCACUGCAUGGAUGGAGUGUGGGGAGCAGCAGCAGGAAGACCUGGGAGCUUUCCCCCUUCUCUGUCCCUGACCGGACACCAGCCACCAGUGUCUCCGGCCCUUGAGGCUGUUUUCCUUCUCUUAAAUCCAGAGAUGUUCCGGCUGACCCCUUUUACCCCUGUUCUCAGUGCCAGGAUGUCCCUGUUUCUCUCUGGGUGAGCACACUGGCUACUUUUGUAAACCUCUGAUUUGAAACAAUCUUCAGGGGAUUUGGUCUGGCAGGGGUAGAUGAAUCCUUUGAGAAUCUGGGACUUCCUUUUCCUGCGGUUGCUGUGUCUGCUCAGGCACUGGGAGUCCGUCAUGGCAGCCGGGGGGAGACUGGGUGAGUUUCUGACACACAACUGGCCAAGUGAGUUGGCUCUUUUCUGUGAGUGUCACACUAUGCCUGGAGAUGAGCAGCAGAAUUUGGAAAGGAAGUUAUGACCAACUUAAAACUCUGUGCUCUUUCUUUAAUCAUAAUGGUGGACCUAUUGGUUACUUUAAUUCAUACAUCACAUAUAUGAGUAGGGACAGAGAAAUUCGAGCUAUACCCAUCAUUAUGUUAAGAAAUUUUAAAGUAAUUAUGAAAGGCUUUGCUAAUCAUGAUUUGUUUUUAUUUGUUUUUUUUCUGCUUAAUACACUAAUAUAUACUCAUUAAAAAAGGUG
This is an RNA transcript of Hyaena hyaena (striped hyena), 2699 nucleotides long. It is a transcript of the gene named ATP-dependent RNA helicase DDX19B, with no coding region annotated. The record is from RefSeq and is a predicted model, not a curated record. The transcript has 13 exons. Lineage: Eukaryota; Metazoa; Chordata; Mammalia; Carnivora; Hyaenidae.